Non-coding RNA from Karstenula rhodostoma CBS 690.94, 84 nucleotides. NCBI's taxonomy places the organism in Eukaryota, Fungi, Ascomycota, Dothideomycetes, Pleosporales, Didymosphaeriaceae. The record is from the annotation of a GenBank genome assembly.
GCCCGCUUGGCUCAGUGGUAGAGCGUAUCACUAGUAGCCGACAAGCAAAUGAUAAGGUCAUCAGUUCGAUUCUGAUAGUGGGCA